RNAcentral lists this transfer RNA (85 nucleotides) under Acidobacteriota bacterium. RNAcentral's name for it is "tRNA-Ser". It matches the Rfam family "tRNA". From Rfam's summary of the family: Transfer RNA (tRNA) molecules are approximately 80 nucleotides in length. Their secondary structure includes four short double-helical elements and three loops (D, anti-codon, and T loops). Lineage: Bacteria; Pseudomonadati; Acidobacteriota. The record is from RNAcentral.
GGAGAGUUCGUCAAAUUGGGAUGGCAUCGGUCUCGAAAACCGACGGGCAAUGACGCCCUUGCGAGUUCGAGUCUCGCACUCUCCG